This 452-nucleotide ribosomal RNA is filed under the name uncultured bacterium. RNAcentral's name for it is "partial 16S ribosomal RNA". It matches the Rfam family "Bacterial small subunit ribosomal RNA", at positions 39 to 523 of the family's 1533-position model. The record is from RNAcentral.
GCGGCAUGCCUUACACAUGCAAGUCGAACGGCAGCACGGGUGCUUGCACCUGGUGGCGAGUGGCGAACGGGUGAGUAACACGUGGGAACCUUCCUAGGGGUACGGAACAACUCAGGGAAACUUGAGCUAAUACCGUAUACGUCCGUGAGGAGAAAGAUUUAUCGCCCUUAGACGGGCCCGCGUCGGAUUAGCUAGUUGGUGGGGUAACGGCCUACCAAAGCGACGAUCCGUAGCUGAUCUUAGAGGAUGAUCAGCCACACUGGGACUGAGACACGGCCCAGACUCCUACGGGAGGCAGCAGUGGGGAAUCUUGGACAAUGGGCGCAAGCCUGAUCCAGCCAUGCCGCGUGAGUGAAGAAGGUCUUCGGAUUGUAAAGCUCUUUUGCCAGGGACGAUAAUGACGGUACCUGGAGAAUAAGCCCCGGCAAACUUCGUGCCAGCCGCCGCGGUAA